RNAcentral lists this ribosomal RNA (472 nucleotides) under uncultured bacterium. Its description in RNAcentral is "bacterial SSU rRNA". It matches the Rfam family "Bacterial small subunit ribosomal RNA", at positions 355 to 825 of the family's 1533-position model. The record is from RNAcentral.
UGGGGAAUUUUGGACAAUGGGGGCAACCCUGAUCCAGCAAUGCCGCGUGAGUGAAGAAGGCCUUCGGGUUGUAAAGCUCUUUUGUCAGGGAAGAAACGGUAGUAGCGAAUAACUAUUACUAAUGACGGUACCUGAAGAAUAAGCACCGGCUAACUACGUGCCAGCAGCCGCGGUAAUACGUAGGGUGCAAGCGUUAAUCGGAAUUACUGGGCGUAAAGCGUGCGCAGGCGGUUGUGUAAGUCAGAUGUGAAAUCCCCGGGCUCAACCUGGGAAUUGCAUUUGAGACUGCACGGCUAGAGUGUGUCAGAGGGGGGUAGAAUUCCACGUGUAGCAGUGAAAUGCGUAGAUAUGUGGAGGUAUACCGAUGGCGAAGGCAGCCCCCUGGGAUAACACUGACGCUCAUGCACGAAAGCGUGGGGAGCAAACAGGAUUAGAUACCCCCGUAGUCCCUGAGCGGGCUGGCAAGGCGCAU